GCUUCCUUGGCUCAGUUGGUAGAGCGUUGGUCUCAUACAUGACAUGAGUGACUUUGUAGUCGCACAAUCCAAAGGUCGCCAGUUCGAGCCUGGCAGGGAGCA
RNAcentral lists this transfer RNA (102 nucleotides) under Rhizoctonia solani. It matches the Rfam family "tRNA". Rfam says of the family: Transfer RNA (tRNA) molecules are approximately 80 nucleotides in length. Their secondary structure includes four short double-helical elements and three loops (D, anti-codon, and T loops). The record is from Rfam by way of RNAcentral. Lineage: Eukaryota; Fungi; Basidiomycota; Agaricomycetes; Cantharellales; Ceratobasidiaceae.